This 2902-nucleotide ribosomal RNA is filed under the name Klebsiella pneumoniae. Its description in RNAcentral is "23S ribosomal RNA". It matches the Rfam family "Bacterial large subunit ribosomal RNA". The record is from RNAcentral. Lineage: Bacteria; Pseudomonadati; Pseudomonadota; Gammaproteobacteria; Enterobacterales; Enterobacteriaceae.
GGUUAAGCGACUAAGCGUACACGGUGGAUGCCCUGGCAGUCAGAGGCGAUGAAGGACGUGCUAAUCUGCGAAAAGCGUCGGUAAGGUGAUAUGAACCGUUAUAACCGGCGAUGUCCGAAUGGGGAAACCCAGUGCAAUUCGUUGCACUAUCGUUAACUGAAUACAUAGGUUAACGAGGCGAACCGGGGGAACUGAAACAUCUAAGUACCCCGAGGAAAAGAAAUCAACCGAGAUUCCCCCAGUAGCGGCGAGCGAACGGGGAGCAGCCCAGAGUCUGAAUCAGCUUGUGUGUUAGUGGAACGGUCUGGAAAGUCCGACGGUACAGGGUGAUAGUCCCGUACACCAAAAUGCACAGGCUGUGAACUCGAAGAGUAGGGCGGGACACGUGGUAUCCUGUCUGAAUAUGGGGGGACCAUCCUCCAAGGCUAAAUACUCCUGACUGACCGAUAGUGAACCAGUACCGUGAGGGAAAGGCGAAAAGAACCCCGGCGAGGGGAGUGAAAAAGAACCUGAAACCGUGUACGUACAAGCAGUGGGAGCACCUUCGGGUGUGACUGCGUACCUUUUGUAUAAUGGGUCAGCGACUUAUAUUCUGUAGCAAGGUUAACCGUAUAGGGGAGCCGCAGGGAAACCGAGUCUUAACUGGGCGUUAAGUUGCAGGGUAUAGACCCGAAACCCGGUGAUCUAGCCAUGGGCAGGUUGAAGGUUGGGUAACACUAACUGGAGGACCGAACCGACUAAUGUUGAAAAAUUAGCGGAUGACUUGUGGCUGGGGGUGAAAGGCCAAUCAAACCGGGAGAUAGCUGGUUCUCCCCGAAAGCUAUUUAGGUAGCGCCUCGUGAACUCAUCUUCGGGGGUAGAGCACUGUUUCGGCUAGGGGGUCAUCCCGACUUACCAACCCGAUGCAAACUACGAAUACCGAAGAAUGUUAUCACGGGAGACACACGGCGGGUGCUAACGUCCGUCGUGAAGAGGGAAACAACCCAGACCGCCAGCUAAGGUCCCAAAGUCAUGGUUAAGUGGGAAACGAUGUGGGAAGGCACAGACAGCCAGGAUGUUGGCUUAGAAGCAGCCAUCAUUUAAAGAAAGCGUAAUAGCUCACUGGUCGAGUCGGCCUGCGCGGAAGAUGUAACGGGGCUAAACCAUGCACCGAAGCUGCGGCAGCGACACUAUGUGUUGUUGGGUAGGGGAGCGUUCUGUAAGCCUGCGAAGGUGACCUGUGAGGGUUGCUGGAGGUAUCAGAAGUGCGAAUGCUGACAUAAGUAACGAUAAAGCGGGUGAAAAGCCCGCUCGCCGGAAGACCAAGGGUUCCUGUCCAACGUUAAUCGGGGCAGGGUGAGUCGACCCCUAAGGCGAGGCCGAAAGGCGUAGUCGAUGGGAAACAGGUUAAUAUUCCUGUACUUGGUGUUACUGCGAAGGGGGGACGGAGAAGGCUAUGUUAGCCGGGCGACGGUUGUCCCGGUUUAAGCAUGUAGGCUGGUUGUCCAGGCAAAUCCGGAUAAUCAAGGCUGAGGUGUGAUGACGAGGCACUACGGUGCUGAAGUAACAAAUGCCCUGCUUCCAGGAAAAGCCUCUAAGCAUCAGGUAACAUUGAAUCGUACCCCAAACCGACACAGGUGGUCAGGUAGAGAAUACCAAGGCGCUUGAGAGAACUCGGGUGAAGGAACUAGGCAAAAUGGUGCCGUAACUUCGGGAGAAGGCACGCUGGUGUGUAGGUGAAGUCCCUGCGGAUGGAGCUGAGACCAGUCGAAGAUACCAGCUGGCUGCAACUGUUUAUUAAAAACACAGCACUGUGCAAACACGAAAGUGGACGUAUACGGUGUGACGCCUGCCCGGUGCCGGAAGGUUAAUUGAUGGGGUUAUCCGUAAGGAGAAGCUCUUGAUCGAAGCCCCGGUAAACGGCGGCCGUAACUAUAACGGUCCUAAGGUAGCGAAAUUCCUUGUCGGGUAAGUUCCGACCUGCACGAAUGGCGUAAUGAUGGCCAGGCUGUCUCCACCCGAGACUCAGUGAAAUUGAACUCGCUGUGAAGAUGCAGUGUACCCGCGGCAAGACGGAAAGACCCCGUGAACCUUUACUAUAGCUUGACACUGAACAUUGAGCCUUGAUGUGUAGGAUAGGUGGGAGGCUUUGAAGCGUGGACGCCAGUCUGCGUGGAGCCAACCUUGAAAUACCACCCUUUAAUGUUUGAUGUUCUAACGUUGGCCCCUGACCGGGGUUGCGGACAGUGUCUGGUGGGUAGUUUGACUGGGGCGGUCUCCUCCCAAAGCGUAACGGAGGAGCACGAAGGUUAGCUAAUCCUGGUCGGACAUCAGGAGGUUAGUGCAAUGGCAUAAGCUAGCUUGACUGCGAGCGUGACGGCGCGAGCAGGUGCGAAAGCAGGUCAUAGUGAUCCGGUGGUUCUGAAUGGAAGGGCCAUCGCUCAACGGAUAAAAGGUACUCCGGGGAUAACAGGCUGAUACCGCCCAAGAGUUCAUAUCGACGGCGGUGUUUGGCACCUCGAUGUCGGCUCAUCACAUCCUGGGGCUGAAGUAGGUCCCAAGGGUAUGGCUGUUCGCCAUUUAAAGUGGUACGCGAGCUGGGUUUAGAACGUCGUGAGACAGUUCGGUCCCUAUCUGCCGUGGGCGCUGGAGAAUUGAGGGGGGCUGCUCCUAGUACGAGAGGACCGGAGUGGACGCAUCACUGGUGUUCGGGUUGUCAUGCCAAUGGCACUGCCCGGUAGCUAAAUGCGGAAGAGAUAAGUGCUGAAAGCAUCUAAGCACGAAACUUGCCCCGAGAUGAGUUCUCCCUGAGACUUUAAGUCUCCUGAAGGAACGUUGAAGACGACGACGUUGAUAGGCCGGGUGUGUAAGCGCAGCGAUGCGUUGAGCUAACCGGUACUAAUGAACCGUGAGGCUUAACCUU